Molecule: ribosomal RNA, 460 nt
Filed under: uncultured bacterium
Lineage: Bacteria
Description: partial 16S ribosomal RNA
Rfam family: Bacterial small subunit ribosomal RNA
Source: RNAcentral
CCUACGGGAGGCAGCAGUGAGGAAUAUUGGUCAAUGGGCUUACGCCUGAACCAGCCAAGUCGCGUGAGGGAAGACUGCCCUAUGGGUUGUAAACUUCUUUUGUCAGGGAGCAACGCCGGCUACGUGUAGCUUUACUGAGAGUACCUGCAGACAAAGCAUCGGCUAACUCCGUGCCAGCAGCCACGGUCAUCCGGAGGAGGUGAGCGUUAUCCGGAUUGAUUGGGUUUAAGGGGUGCGUAGGCGGACGGCCAGGUCAGCGGUAAAAUCGCGGGCCUCAACCUCGCUCCGCCGUUGAAACUGGCGGUCUGGAGUGGGCGAGAGGGAGGCGGAAUGCGUGGUGUAGCGGUGAAAUGCAUAGAUAUCACGCAGAACUCCGAUUGCGAAGGCAGCAUACCGGAGCCCAACUGACGCUGAAGCACGAAAGCGUGGGUAUCGAACAGGAUUAGAUACCCUAGUAGUC